AGGAGAGGGAGGGCAGCCGACGGUAGGGUCUUGACGACCCAGCUGAGGAAGGUCCCCCCUCCAUGAGACAGUGGUCCACGCAAGUGGAUGGGUGAGAGCCCAGGCAAGGGCGCAGAAACGACACAGCUCCGAUCCAGGAUGAUUCGCUGGGCGAUGACGUUCUUCGGAGAUUUGGUGAAACGGCGACUCCCCACUGGAGCAAACCCAAACAGCCAGAAUGACUACUCAGGACUGGCGGGUAGGGCGCUUAGUUGAAUGCUGCCUGAAACAGAAGGGGGCCUAUUACCCUCACCU
This 294-nucleotide RNase P RNA is filed under the name Methanomassiliicoccales archaeon. Its description in RNAcentral is "RNase P RNA component". It matches the Rfam family "Archaeal RNase P". Rfam says of the family: Ribonuclease P (RNase P) is a ubiquitous endoribonuclease, found in archaea, bacteria and eukarya as well as chloroplasts and mitochondria. Its best characterised activity is the generation of mature 5'-ends of tRNAs by cleaving the 5'-leader elements of precursor-tRNAs. Lineage: Archaea; Methanobacteriati; Thermoplasmatota; Thermoplasmata; Methanomassiliicoccales. The record is from RNAcentral.